GACGAACGCUGGCGGCGUGCUUAACACAUGCAAGUCGUACGGUAAGGCCCUUUCGGGGGUACACGAGUGGCGAACGGGUGAGUAACACGUGAGUAACCUGCCCACAACUUUGGGAUAACGCUAGGAAACUGGUGCUAAUACUGGAUAUGUGCUCCUGCUGCAUGGUGGGGGUUGGAAAGCUCCGGCGGUUGUGGAUGGACUCGCGGCCUAUCAGCUUGUUGGUGGGGUAGUGGCCUACCAAGGCGGUGACGGGUAGCCGGCCUGAGAGGGUGACCGGCCACAUUGGGACUGAGAUACGGCCCAGACUCCUACGGGAGGCAGCAGUGGGGAAUAUUGCACAAUGGGCGCAAGCCUGAUGCAGCAACGCCGCGUGCGGGAUGACGGCCUUCGGGUUGUAAACCGCUUUCAGCAGGGACGAAGCUUUUUGUGACGGUACCUGCAGAAGAAGCACCGGCUAACUACGUG
RNAcentral lists this ribosomal RNA (465 nucleotides) under uncultured bacterium. RNAcentral's name for it is "partial 16S ribosomal RNA". It matches the Rfam family "Bacterial small subunit ribosomal RNA", at positions 28 to 507 of the family's 1533-position model. The record is from RNAcentral.